RNAcentral lists this ribosomal RNA (268 nucleotides) under uncultured cyanobacterium. RNAcentral describes it as "partial 16S ribosomal RNA". It matches the Rfam family "Bacterial small subunit ribosomal RNA", at positions 36 to 331 of the family's 1533-position model. The record is from RNAcentral. Lineage: Bacteria; Bacillati; Cyanobacteriota.
GACCUGGCGGCGUGCUUAACACAUGCAAGUCGAACGAACCUUCGGGUUAGUGGCGGACGGGUGAGUAACGCGUGAGAAUCUGCCCUCAGGAGGGGGAUAACAGCUGGAAACGGCUGCUAAUACCCCAUAUGCCGCGAGGUGAAAUGAAUUUCGCCUGAGGAUGAGCUCGCGUCUGAUUAGCUAGUUGGUGUAGGUAAUGGCUCACCAAGGCAUCGAUCAGUAGCUGGUCUGAGAGGAUGAUCAGCCACACUGGGACUGAGACACGGCC